GUGCUCGCUUCAGCAGCACAGACACUAAAACAGGAGCGAUACAGAGAAGGUUAGCGUGGGCCCUGUGCAAGGAUGCCAUGCGAAUUCCUGAAGCAUCCCGUACUUGG
Molecule: small nuclear RNA, 107 nt
Organism: Apodemus sylvaticus (European woodmouse)
Lineage: Eukaryota; Metazoa; Chordata; Mammalia; Rodentia; Muridae
Source: RefSeq, a predicted model, not a curated record